GAUGAACGCUAGCGGCAGGCUUAAUACAUGCAAGUCGUGGGGCAGCAGCUUUAUAGCAAUAUAGAGGCUGGCGACCGGCAAACGGGUGCGGAACACGUACUGAACCUUCCUUUAAGUGGGGAAUAGCCCAGAGAAAUUUGGAUUAAUACCCCGUAACAUAUAAAAGUGGCAUCACUUUUAUAUUAAAGCUCCGGCGCUUAAAGAUGGCAGUGCGGCUGAUUAGGUAGUUGGCGGGGUAACGGCCCACCAAGCCUACGAUCAGUAACUGGUGUGAGAGAACGAGCCGCAACACGGGAACUGAGACACGGGCCCGACUCCUACGGGAGGCAGCAGUAAGGAAUAUUGGUCAAUGGACGGAAGUCUGAACCAGCCAUGCCGCGUGGAGGAUGAAGGUCCUCUGGAUUGUAAACUUCUUUUAUCUGGGACGAAAAAGGGCUUUUCUAAGUCAACUGACGGUACCAGAUGAAUAAGCACCGGCUAACUCCGUGCCAGCAGCCGCCGUAA
Molecule: ribosomal RNA, 504 nt
Filed under: uncultured bacterium
Lineage: Bacteria
Description: partial 16S ribosomal RNA
Rfam family: Bacterial small subunit ribosomal RNA
Source: RNAcentral